ACACAUGCAAGUCGAACGGGAAGAGAUGAAGAGCUUGCUCUUUAUCGAAUCCAGUGGCAAACGGGUGAGUAACACGUAAACAACCUGCCUUCAGGAUGGGGACAACAGACGGAAACGACUGCUAAUACCGAAUACGUUCCACGGGCCGCAUGACCUGUGGAAGAAAGGGUAGCCUCUACCUGUAAGCUAUCGCCUGAAGAGGGGUUUGCGUCUGAUUAGGCAGUUGGUGGGGUAACGGCCCACCAAACCAACGAUCAGUAGCCGGUCUGAGAGGAUGAACGGCCACACUGGAACUGAGACACGGUCCAGACUCCUACGGGAGGCAGCAGUGGGGAAUCUUCCGCAAUGGACGAAAGUCUGACGGAGCAACGCCGCGUGAGUGAAGACGGCCUUCGGGUUGUAAAGCUCUGUGAUCCGGGACGAAAGAGCCUUGGGUAAAUAGCCUAAGGAAGUGACGGUACCGGAAAAGCAAGCCACGGCUAACUACGUGCCAGCAGCCGCGGUAAUACGUAGGUGGCAAGCGUUGUCCGGAAUUAUUGGGCGUAAAGCGCGCGCAGGCGGCUUCCUAAGUCCAUCUUAAAAGUGCGGGGCUUAACCCCGUGAUGGGAUGGAAACUGGGAAGCUGGAGUAUCGGAGAGGAAAGUGGAAUUCCUAGUGUAGCGGUGAAAUGCGUAGAGAUUAGGAAGAACACCGGUGGCGAAGGCGACUUUCUGGACGAAAACUGACGCUGAGGCGCGAAAGCGUGGGGAGCAAACAGGAUUAGAUACCCUGGUAGUCCACGCCGUAAACGAUGGAUACUAGGUGUAGGAGGUAUCGACCCCUUCUGUGCCGGA
This 833-nucleotide ribosomal RNA is filed under the name uncultured bacterium. Its description in RNAcentral is "bacterial SSU rRNA". It matches the Rfam family "Bacterial small subunit ribosomal RNA", at positions 51 to 850 of the family's 1533-position model. The record is from RNAcentral.